Long non-coding RNA from Ornithodoros turicata, 863 nucleotides. RefSeq lists it as uncharacterized. The transcript is spliced from 2 exons. The record is from RefSeq and is a predicted model, not a curated record. NCBI's taxonomy places the organism in Eukaryota, Metazoa, Arthropoda, Arachnida, Ixodida, Argasidae.
UUAUCUUCCUUUCCUUCUUUGUGCGUGUGCAUUUUUUCCCUGUUUUAACCAACUGUGUGUAGGUGUACUGGGGUAGCCAACCAGACUUUGUCGCGACUUACGUCACCAUUUUGUUAUCUUUAUCAUCGUUAUUAGUUACUUUCGAUACCUACCAACGACCUCACGAUUUCUGUAGCUGAUCCUGUUCUCGCAGUUGUCUCUACAUGAAGACCAUUCGGUCCACUCCGUUAAGGUGCAAGCGUCCUCACAACUAAUGUGACACUUGCGGUGCAGUGUGGGAAUCGAAAACACUUGUCCCUCUGCGCUGGAUAUCGAAGCGUUGAUGCAAUGCCAAUAGUCCACCGAGAAGAGGUUUGAAUCCACGCACGUCAGUUACAACAGAAAGUUAUGCGUUCUUUAUGAAGAAGGCGAAGCAACUCUGGCAUGUAAACGCGGCGCGUGCUGUGCGCAGAGAAGCUGAUGGCAUAGUGUAUGUGUGUACUGCUCACUUCGAACUUGGUGCCCUGUGCCACAGAGAAGAUGAUGUGGGAGAACGCACGAACUCCAGUCAGAAGUGUUCCACCGGUAUCGAACACUGGAAGACGGGUGCUCCGUCCGGCACCACGGUUCUUUCGCUGAAUUACAAGGACGCUCCUCUCGAAGGCGCCGCCAAGGGCAUGACCGACCACCGUGUGAUGCGUUUCGGAUCACGAAUCUCUCACGGACCAUGAUGUUUCCACCUGUAAAACGAAAGCGCGACGAGCAUGUACAGGUAAAAAGGUUCAUUGAUUUAUGUUAAUGGGCGUUUUUCUUGCUACGACUGUACACUGUUGAAGAAAGAAAGGUAAAGUGAAGACAGCAAUUUGCUCUAAGCGCUAAGUUUA